CGGGUGAGUAACGCGUGGAUAACCUGCCUCACACAGGGGGAUAACAGUUAGAAAUGACUGCUAAUACCGCAUAAGCGCACGGUGCCGCAUGGUACAGUGUGAAAAACUCCGGUGGUGUGAGAUGGAUCCGCGUCUGAUUAGGUAGUUGGUGAGGUAACGGCCCACCAAGCCGACGAUCAGUAGCCGACCUGAGAGGGUGACCGGCCACAUUGGGACUGAGACACGGCCCAA
RNAcentral lists this ribosomal RNA (231 nucleotides) under uncultured bacterium. RNAcentral's name for it is "partial 16S ribosomal RNA". It matches the Rfam family "Bacterial small subunit ribosomal RNA", at positions 103 to 334 of the family's 1533-position model. The record is from RNAcentral.